GAGCAGAUGAUGAUAAAGCACAUAUCUGAUGAUUAAUGUUGUCUAUGAUGUCUCAACAUAUCGAGCUUUUUAAAGCUGAUGCUCA
Magnolia sinica is the source of this 85-nucleotide small nucleolar RNA. NCBI's taxonomy places the organism in Eukaryota, Viridiplantae, Streptophyta, Magnoliopsida, Magnoliales, Magnoliaceae. The record is from RefSeq and is a predicted model, not a curated record.